RNA transcript from Hibiscus syriacus, 1240 nucleotides. RefSeq lists it as uncharacterized. The transcript has 13 exons. Lineage: Eukaryota; Viridiplantae; Streptophyta; Magnoliopsida; Malvales; Malvaceae. The record is from RefSeq and is a predicted model, not a curated record.
UAUUAUUGUCCCCUAUUUUGUUUUUCGCUUAAACACUUUGCCCUUCCUUACAAAAAUCCAAUGGUUUCUUUACCAUUCUAAUUGGGGGCAGAUUCAGACAAAAUAAUUAAAUCCCAACUCAGCUCUGGAAAGUGGUAUUCUUAUCAUGCACAACCGUUUUACAUUCUGGACAAUGAAAUAUGGAACAGGAAAAUAAAAGAAGUGAGUACUCGAUGCAUGGGAUCAAUAGUGAUGGGUUUAAAGCACAGGACUCCGAAUUUCUUAAAAGCAGGCACAGCUCUGAAACACAUCUUGCUCCAAGUAAAUCAAAUGAAGAUGGAAAUUAUGAUUUUCAAGGUCCGGAGGCUAAGGAACUUCAUUUGCGAGUUGGUGCUCAAAAAGAGGAGAUUCAACAUCUUCGUGAACAAAUUGCCGUUACAUGUGUGAAGGAAUUGCAGCUGCUGAAUGAAAAAUGUGCGCUGGAGAGGAAAUUCUCUGACUUGCGGAUGGCAAUUCAUGAAAAGCAAAAUGAAUACAUCACUUCUGCUUCAAAUGAAUUGGCUCGCAGAAAAGGUGACCUUGAAGAAAAUUUAAAGCUGACUCAUGAUUUAAAGGCUGCGGAGGAUGAGAGAUACAUCUUCAUGUCAUCAUUGCUUGGGCUAUUGGCUGAACAUGGUCUUUGGCCCCACGUUGUAAAUGCGUCUACCAUUACCAGCAGUGUAAAGUACCUACAUGAUCAGUUAGAAUGGAAGAUCAGAACUUCGCAUGAUAGAAUUAGAGAGUUGAGUGGUGUUCACGGAACUCAUGCUAGAGGCAGAUCUCAUGAAAAGAUAGGCCAAGUUCUGGCAUUUUGAUGAUCAAAAUCCUCAUAGAUCCACGGUACUAUUUGCAUGCUGGUCCGGUUUCUCUCCAACUAAUCAUACCCAGAUGAGCAACAUCAUAUGCCACCUGAGAAUAUGAUGAGAUACAUGCAUGAUAAUGAUCACACUGCAAAAAAUUUAAUGUUCAAUGAUCUGGGCAACAACGAUUGAGCAAUGGCACUGCACAGGAGUUCUUGUUCAAUUCUGAUAGAGGUUUUGUAAGAAUCGGAUCUGAGGAUACAGCCAAUGAUGUCUUGUAUCAGCCUGAUGAGAUGGCCUCCCAAGGUUCUGAAGACGGGCCUGGAAUUGAGGGUUUCAGAUAAUGGGGAUGCAACACCAGGAGAAAAGCUUCUAGGAUGCGGCUUUCCCGUACGAGGAACUACCCUUUGUAUGUUUUCAGG